CGUAGGUGGCAAGCGUUGUCCGGAUUCAUUGGGCGUAAAGCGCCCGCAGGCGGCUCAGCAAGUUUCAGGUGAAAUCUCCCGGCUCAACUGGGAGGGGUCUUGGAAAACUGCUGGGCUUGAGGCAGGGAGAGGGAUGCGGAAUACCAGGUGUAGUGGUGAAAUGCGUAGAUAUCUGGUGGAACACCAGUGGCGAAGGCGGCAUCCUGGCCCUGUCCUGACGCUCAGGGGCGAAAGCGUGGGGAGCAAACCGGAUUGGAUACCCGGGUAGUCCACGCCGUAAACGAUGAGUACUAGGUGUAGGGGGUAUCGACCCCCUCUGUGCCGAAGCUAACGCGAUAAGUACUCCGCCUGGGGACUACGGCCGCAAGGCUA
RNAcentral lists this ribosomal RNA (372 nucleotides) under uncultured organism. RNAcentral's name for it is "bacterial SSU rRNA". It matches the Rfam family "Bacterial small subunit ribosomal RNA", at positions 526 to 896 of the family's 1533-position model. The record is from RNAcentral.